GGGCAGACACACUGAAGUCGCUAGACGUCUGAGGAACACAUCCGGGGAAGAAGACACAGGUGGCUGGUCAUCGAGAGCCCGCUGGGGGAAGAGCACACAGACAGGCACCGGCAGGCCAUUGACCAGCGGGACAAGGUGGGCUCAAUGUCAUCACAAGGGUGCUUAAGAGGGAAAGAGGAAGCCAUGAGGGUCAGAGUCAAAGGAAGACUUGAAGAUACUACACUGCGGACUUUACAGAUGAAGGAAGGGGCGAAAACCAAGAAUGUGGGAAGCCUCUAGAAGCUAGAGAAGGCAAGGAAACAAAUUUUCCACUAGAGCCUCCAGAAGGAACACAGCCCUGCUGACCCACUGUAAUGUCUGACCUCUAGAUGUGUAAGGGUAGUAAGACUGAAAGUCUCAGAAAGGCACUGUUACAUUCUUAUUCCACAACUAUGCAACUCGAAACUGGGGUCCUCAGCAGUGAGCGAGGGGUGAGAGAAGACACUGUAUAAACAUGGCACAUCCUCCUGGAAAGUCAACUUUACUCAAAGCUUUAGAAACCCAGCUCAAACUAGCUGAAGCAGAAAAGACACUACUGCGCCUAUAAGUUGAAACUUUGGAGGGAUAAAUUUCAGAGGUGUGGCUAGAUCCAAGGGCUCUCUGGAAAACUCUGUGAAAAAAAUGCUUCCUCAAGUCCAGAAACCAGAAGCUCAGGAAAUUCUUGCUUGGUUCCUCUUGUUAGAGGCAAAGAUUAUUCAACGACCUACAGGGUAGCGUUUGGCUAACAUAAUCUGCCUUCCAAUGGAGUAAGAAUGUCUGUACUCUUUCCUUCACCUACCCCCAAGACAUGGAGGCGUCUAAAAGAUAAAUAAAACUUGGCAACUGACCGAAGGAGGAAGAGGGGAUUUCAGGCAAAAUCAACGCUGUUCACUACGAGGAGAUUUCAGAAAGGUUGCCUGCUUCUGGGGAGCAUAGUCCCUGAUUCCUCAAGACAUACGUUUAUUCUUUUCUUCAAUGUAUUUGCCUGCAGUCAAAACAAAACCAUUACCUUUAGCCAAGUUCAUACAUUUCAGCCAAAUCCAUAUGCAUCGGAUCAGUUCUGUAGGUUAUGGGUGAGCAUGAACAUAUAAAAGAGGCACCUGCCUGUGCCUAUCUACUCCAUGGAGUUUGAAAAGGGGCCACUUAUGGAGAAUGUCUUUAGGGACAGAACCAACCACCCUGUCUUUCCUCCAACUCUCAAAGUAACUUCUGGCUUUAAUCCUCAUGUGUCUAUGCUGGAGUUUAAGAAAAAUGUUUUUCAUAGAAUUCAUGUGUAUGAUAUUGCAUGAGUUGUCCAUCUUUGUAUAUAUCUCAAGACUUGUGGUGUUAGUUAAAGAUUCAGAGCUCUGUGUCCUGAACACAGAGUAAUACCAGCAUUACUAAGGAUGAUCAUGGGAUUUUAAAAUUCCUCCCUUAGAUAGAUCUUACGAACUUAGGUUACCAAUCAACAUAAGUUAAGACAAAAAGAGCAAAUUUAGAUGUAAAACCAUCUUGGGGCCAGGUGCUAUGGCUCACGCCUGUAAUCCCAGCACUUUGGGAGGCCGAGGCGGGCGGAUCACGAGGUCAGGAGAUCGAGACCAUCCUGGCCAACACGGUGAAACCCUGUCUCUACUAAAAAUACAAAAAAAUUAGCCGGGCAUGGUGGCAGGCGCCUGUAGUCCCAGCUACUAGGGAGGCUGAGGCAGGAGAAUGGUGUGAACCCUGGAAGCGGAGCUUGCAGUGAGCCAAGAUCAUGCCACUGCACUGCAGCCUGGGCGACAGAGCGAGACUCCGUCUCAAAAAAAACCAAACCAACAAACAAACAAAAAAA
This 1828-nucleotide long non-coding RNA is filed under the name Pan troglodytes (chimpanzee). RNAcentral describes it as "lincRNA". Lineage: Eukaryota; Metazoa; Chordata; Mammalia; Primates; Hominidae. The record is from RNAcentral.